Molecule: ribosomal RNA, 253 nt
Filed under: uncultured bacterium
Lineage: Bacteria
Description: partial 16S ribosomal RNA
Rfam family: Bacterial small subunit ribosomal RNA
Source: RNAcentral
UACGUAGGGGGCAAGCGUUGUCCGGAAUCAUUGGGCGUAAAGAGCGUGUAGGCGGCCCGAUAAGUCCGUCGUGAAAGUCCAGGGCUCAACCCUGGGAUGCCGGUGGAAACUGUCGGGCUAGAGUCCGGAAGAGGCGAGUGGAAUUCCUGGUGUAGCGGUGAAAUGCGCAGAUAUCAGGAGGAACACCGAUGGCGAAGGCAGCUCGCUGGGACGGUACUGACGCUGAGGUGCGAAAGCGUGGGGAGCGAACAGG